RNAcentral lists this ribosomal RNA (430 nucleotides) under uncultured bacterium. Its description in RNAcentral is "partial 16S ribosomal RNA". It matches the Rfam family "Bacterial small subunit ribosomal RNA", at positions 354 to 796 of the family's 1533-position model. The record is from RNAcentral.
GUGGGGAAUAUUGCACAAUGGGCGCAAGCCUGAUGCAGCAACGCCGCGUGAGGGAUGACGGCCUUCGGGUUGUAAACCUCUUUUAGUAGGGAAGAAGCGAAAGUGACGGUACCUGCAGAAAAAGCACCGGCUAACUACGUGCCAGCAGCCGCGGUAAUACGUAGGGUGCAAGCGUUGUCCGGAAUUAUUGGGCGUAAAGAGCUCGUAGGCGGCUUGUCGCGUCUGCUGUGAAAACCCGAGGCUCAACCUCGGGCCUGCAGUGGGUACGGGCAGGCUAGAGUGCGGUAGGGGAGAUUGGAAUUCCUGGUGUAGCGGUGGAAUGCGCAGAUAUCAGGAGGAACACCGAUGGCGAAGGCAGAUCUCUGGGCCGUAACUGACGCUGAGGAGCGAAAGCAUGGGGAGCGAACAGGAUUAGAUACCCGAGUAGUCC